GGGUUGUGAGGUUAAGCGACUAAGCGUACACGGUGGAUGCCCUGGCAGUCAGAGGCGAUGAAGGGCGUGCUAAUCUGCGAUAAGCGCCGGUAAGGUGAUAUGAACCGUUAUAACCGGCGAUACCCGAAUGGGGAAACCCAGUGUGAUUCGUCACACUAUCAUUAACUGAAUCCAUAGGUUAAUGAGGCGAACCGGGGGAACUGAAACAUCUAAGUACCCCGAGGAAAAGAAAUCAACCGAGAUUCCCCCAGUAGCGGCGAGCGAACGGGGAGGAGCCCAGAGCCUGAAUCAGCAUGUGUGUUAGUGGAAGCGUCUGGAAAGGCGCGCGAUACAGGGUGACAGCCCCGUACACAAAAGCGCAUGUGCUGUGAGCUCGAUGAGUAGGGCGGGACACGUGGUAUCCUGUCUGAAUAUGGGGGGACCAUCCUCCAAGGCUAAAUACUCCUGACUGACCGAUAGUGAACCAGUACCGUGAGGGAAAGGCGAAAAGAACCCCGGCGAGGGGAGUGAAAAAGAACCUGAAACCGUGUACGUACAAGCAGUGGGAGCACAGGUUUACCUGUGUGACUGCGUACCUUUUGUAUAAUGGGUCAGCGACUUAUAUUCUGUAGCAAGGUUAACCGAAUAGGGGAGCCGGAGGGAAACCGAGUCUUAAUUGGGCGUUAAGUUGCAGGGUAUAGACCCGAAACCCGGUGAUCUAGCCAUGGGCAGGUUGAAGGUUGGGUAACACUAACUGGAGGACCGAACCGACUAAUGUUGAAAAAUUAGCGGAUGACCUGUGGCUGGGGGUGAAAGGCCAAUCAAACCGGGAGAUAGCUGGUUCUCCCCGAAAGCUAUUUAGGUAGCGCCUCGUGAAUUCAUCUCCGGGGGUAGAGCACUGUUUCGGCUAGGGGGCCAUCCCGGCUUACCAACCCGAUGCAAACUGCGAAUACCGGAGAAUGUUAUCACGGGAGACACACGGCGGGUGCUAACGUCCGUCGUGAAGAGGGAAACAACCCAGACCGCCAGCUAAGGUCCCAAAGUCAUGGUUAAGUGGGAAACGAUGUGGGAAGGCCCAGACAGCCAGGAUGUUGGCUUAGAAGCAGCCAUCAUUUAAAGAAAGCGUAAUAGCUCACUGGUCGAGUCGGCCUGCGCGGAAGAUGUAACGGGGCUAAACCAUGCACCGAAGCUGCGGCAGCGAACGUAUCACCCAAGACAACUUUACGGAGUUGACGAUUGACGGAGCGAAGCGACGUCAAAGCGUUCAUUAAAGUCGAGUUGGCUUAGGGAUACGUUCGUUGGGUAGGGGAGCGUUCUGUAAGCCUGUGAAGGUGUGUCGUGAGGCAUGCUGGAGGUAUCAGAAGUGCGAAUGCUGACAUAAGUAACGAUAAAGCGGGUGAAAAGCCCGCUCGCCGGAAGACCAAGGGUUCCUGUCCAACGUUAAUCGGGGCAGGGUGAGUCGACCCCUAAGGC
This 1452-nucleotide ribosomal RNA is filed under the name Salmonella enterica subsp. enterica serovar Typhimurium. RNAcentral describes it as "partial 23S ribosomal RNA". It matches the Rfam family "Bacterial large subunit ribosomal RNA", at positions 1 to 1397 of the family's 2925-position model. Lineage: Bacteria; Pseudomonadati; Pseudomonadota; Gammaproteobacteria; Enterobacterales; Enterobacteriaceae. The record is from RNAcentral.